RNAcentral lists this long non-coding RNA (443 nucleotides) under Equus asinus (donkey). RNAcentral describes it as "lncRNA (ENSEASG00005023685.1)". The record is from RNAcentral. Lineage: Eukaryota; Metazoa; Chordata; Mammalia; Perissodactyla; Equidae.
CCGUGGGCACCCAUGGCCUGCUGCCCCCAACAGCCGCACCACGGGGCAAGACCCCGGGCCCUGGAGCCCCAGCAGGAAGCAGCCCUUGGAGGCUGUGGGACAGCAACCUGCCCCAAGAAUCCAGGCUACUGUCUUCAUGGAUGCUAUCAAGCUGGAGAGUAGGGGAUGGUGAGUGGGAAGAAUAUAGAAUUCACAGGUGAAGCCAUCUGGACCUGGAGUUCUUUGUUAGAAGACUUUUGACUCUGAAUUCAGAUUUUACAUGGAUACAGGUGAGCUUAGGUAGCUCAUGCCUUUCAAGGAAUGGGUCCACUUCAUCUAAGUGCUGACAUCUAUUUGCAUGGACUUGUUCCCAGUAUUCCCUUAUUAACAUUUUAAUGACUGUAGGAUCUUUAGCGAUGUUCUUCCGUUCCUGAUGUUGGCACUUUGUGUCUUCUCUCUUCUUU